Molecule: ribosomal RNA, 295 nt
Filed under: uncultured bacterium
Lineage: Bacteria
Description: partial 16S ribosomal RNA
Rfam family: Bacterial small subunit ribosomal RNA
Source: RNAcentral
UUACCCUACGGGGGGCAGCAGUGAGGAAUAUUGGUCAAUGGGAGGAAUCCUGAACCAGCCAUGCCGCGUGCAGGACGACGGCUCUACGAGUUGUAAACUGCUUUUGUACCGGGGUAAAAUGCCUUACGAGUAGGGUUUUGAAAGUACGGUACGAAUAAGGAUCGGCUAACUCCGUGCCAGCAGCCGCGGUAAUACGGAGGAUCCGAGCGUUAUCCGGAUUCAUUGGGUUUAAAGGGUGCGCAGGCGGGCCUUUAAGCCGGCGGUGAAAUCGCGGGGCUCAACCCCGCCGAGCCGU